GGACCUAUUGGAGGGCAAGUCUGGUGCCAGCAGCCGCGGUAAUUCCAGCUCCAAUAGCGUAUAUUAAAGUUGUUGCGGUUAAAACGUUCGUAGUUGAACUUGUGCUUCAUACGGGUGGUACACCUAAAAUUUGGGUUAGUACAUUACCUUAUUGUAUGUAAGCGUAUUACCGGUGGAGUUCUUAUAUAUUAUAUAAUUUAUUUAUUUAAUAUAUUCCUCCUAUAUAAACCUGAUUCAAUGCUCUUUACCGAGUGUUGUUUUGGGCCGGUACAAUUACUUUGAACAAAUUAGAGUGCUUAAAGCAGGCUCUUAAUGCCUGAAUAUUCUGUGCAUGGAAUAAUGGAAUAAGACCUCUGUUCUAAUUUCAUUGGUUUUUAGAUCAAGAGGUAAUGAUUAAUAGAAGCAGUUGGGGGCAUUAGUAUUACGACGCGAGAGGUGAAAUUCUUGGACCGUCGUAAGACUAACUUAAGCGAAAGCAUUUGCCAAAGAUGUUUUCAUUAAUCAAGAACGAAAGUUAGAGGUUCGAAGGCGAUCAGAUACCGCCCUAGUUCUAACCAUAAACGAUGCCAGCCAGCAAUUGGGUGUAGCUACUUUUAUGGCUCUCUCAGUAGCUUCCCGGGAAACCAAAGCUUUUGGGCUCCGGGGGAAGUAUGGUUGCAAAGCUGAAACUUAAAGGAAU
Molecule: ribosomal RNA, 679 nt
Filed under: Amblypsilopus abruptus group sp. SNK-2009
Lineage: Eukaryota; Metazoa; Arthropoda; Insecta; Diptera; Dolichopodidae
Description: SSU rRNA
Rfam family: Eukaryotic small subunit ribosomal RNA
Source: RNAcentral